Molecule: small RNA, 930 nt
Filed under: Rattus norvegicus (Norway rat)
Lineage: Eukaryota; Metazoa; Chordata; Mammalia; Rodentia; Muridae
Description: uncharacterized LOC108351220
Source: RNAcentral
AAUGGUGGAGAAUGAAAAGUUUUAAAUACGAUGCAGUCUCUGUUGUCUUCUGAUAGAGCACAAGUGGACCAAGACAUCCGUCUUCUGCUGGGCCUGGGAAGGGAGAAACCCGGCAGUCUGGAGGAGGAGAGGGGCGUCCCGGGAUAAGAGUGCUUCCUAAAUAGUUUUCAGCCGAGCUGUUAUGUUUCCCAGGGGUUGCAUCUUCAAUGCCUGCACCAUCAGUGCCUGCACCACCAGUGCCUGCACCAUCAGUGCCUGCACGGUCAGUGCCUGCACGGUCAGUGCCUGCACCGUCAGUACCUGCACCAUCAAUGCCUGCCUGCACCGUCAGUGCCUGCACGGUCAGUGCCUGCACCGUCAAUGCCUGCACCGUCAGUGCCUGCACCGUCAAUGCCUGCACCGUCAGUGCCUGCAUUUUAGUUGACCUGGUUCUUGGCUUUCUGAAGAAGAGUCUUCCAAUUUUCAUCAACAUUACUUGCUUAUAACUUCAAGACCAGUUGGUGCUGGUCUUCUCAUGGUCACUUUAACUUUGUUCUAGGCCUUCAAACAAUCCCUUUACUGUAUUUUAGAAGUCAUAAUUUGUGUUCAACCAGCUAUCCAUGGGCAAAUCUGUUUUCUUCAGGUAAAUAUCCCAUAUGGGUGUUUUCUAGUGUUUGUUUUGCAGGGUCUAUGUUUGAGAAAAGCACAGGCAGCAGAAGCUGGUUAUGUAGAAAUGAGAGGACAUUUUCCCUUUCAAUUCGGCUUCCUUCCUUCACAGUUCAGUUAAAAUAAAAAUCUUCUCAGUCAAGAACUAAGAAGUUAUGAGAAUCUGACCACAAAAAGCAUUGUCAGAAAUACCAUUUUUGAACUAUCAUAAAGAAAUGAUCUAGAUGUUUAAAUUGAUUUAAACAUUGAACAGUGCAUAGAUGUAUAAAACAUUGUUGUAUAUAA